This 497-nucleotide ribosomal RNA is filed under the name uncultured bacterium. RNAcentral describes it as "partial 16S ribosomal RNA". It matches the Rfam family "Bacterial small subunit ribosomal RNA", at positions 28 to 507 of the family's 1533-position model. The record is from RNAcentral.
GAUGAACGCUGGCGGCGUGCCUAAUACAUGCAAGUAGAGCGCACAGACGAGGAGCUUGCUCUUCUGACGUUAGUGGCGGACGGGUGAGUAACACGUGGGUAACCUGCCUUUAAGCCUGGGAUAACUUCGGGAAACCGGAGCUAAUACCGGAUAAUAUAUUGAACCGCAUGGUUCUAUAGUGAAAGACGGUUUUGCUGUACCUUAUAGUUGGAUCCGCGUCGCAUUAGCUAUUUGGUAAGGUAACGCCUUACCAAGGCAACGAUGCGUAGCCAACUUGGGAGGGUGAUCGGCCACACUGGAACUGAGACACGGCCCAGACUCCUACGGGAGGAGGCAGUGGGGAAUCUCCGGCAUUGGGCGAAAGCCGGACGGAGCAAGGCGCGGGGGGGGAGGAAGUUUUCCGGAUCUAAAGCCUUUGUUAAUGGGGAAGAACAGUGGUAGAGUGAACUAUGCACGUUGUGACGGUACCUAACCAGAAAGCCACGGCUAACUACGUG